AUACGGAGGAUGCGAGCGUUAUCCGGAUUCAUUGGGUUUAAAGGGUGCGCAGGCGGCUCGUCAAGUCAGCGGUGAAAGCCCGGGGCCCAACCCCGGAAGUGCCGUUGAUACUGUCGGGCUGGAAUGCGGUCGAGGCGGGCGGAACGGGGCGUGUAGCGGUGAAAAGCGUAGAUAUGCCACAGAACCCCGAUAGCGAAGGCAGCUCGCCAGGCCUGCAUUGACGCGCGGGCACGAAAGCGUGGGGAUCGAACAGGAUUAGAUACCCUGGUAGUCCACGCCGUAAACGAUGGGCGCUCGUCGUCGGCGGCAGAAUGUCGGCGGCCAAGCGAAAGCGAUAAGCGCCCCACCUGGGGAGUACGGUCGCAAGGCUGAAACUCAAAUGAAUUGACGGGG
This 393-nucleotide ribosomal RNA is filed under the name uncultured bacterium. RNAcentral's name for it is "partial 16S ribosomal RNA". It matches the Rfam family "Bacterial small subunit ribosomal RNA", at positions 523 to 918 of the family's 1533-position model. The record is from RNAcentral.